Camponotus floridanus (Florida carpenter ant) is the source of this 1247-nucleotide long non-coding RNA. RefSeq lists it as uncharacterized. The transcript is spliced from 7 exons. The record is from RefSeq and is a predicted model, not a curated record. NCBI's taxonomy places the organism in Eukaryota, Metazoa, Arthropoda, Insecta, Hymenoptera, Formicidae.
ACGAGCCACUGGCUUUCCUCCUCCGAUGAGGGCAUCACUGCCAGAAACCAUCUGGCGAAACGGAUAAUAAGAUAAUAAAUACGCAAUAGAGGCGGGCAUAUCUCGUCAAUUAUAUUCUCUGACGCAUUGCCAGUGUCUUACGACGCGAUGCAAUCGCAGCGUAGUCUAUAAUGGUACAUAGGUCGUCUCUUGAUAUGUCACACUGCACAUUAUUAACGCAGAUAAGAUAACAUGAAUUCCGAGCCGAGAGAUAAAGGCGGGAAUCGGUUGCGAAAAUAUUGACAUUUUUGAGAGACAAAGCCGGAAGCUGAAUGGAAGGCAGAAUCGGAAGCGAGAACGACUUACGAGAAUAAACUAGGCUUUUUUUUCGAUAGAGAAAUCAAGGAUAAGAUUCGUUGUAAUAUUGAACGAUGAUUUUUCUAUCUCUCUCUAUCUCUCUCGUGUUACUACGCAGCACGUAAGGAACGACACAGACUAGGGAGGAGUGUGUGUUAACAAUGCACGGAAUGAUAUUGUGCUUCGCAAUUGUAAAAUUUAUCACGCGGUGCACGUGGAAAGGCAUACGUCACGUCUAUAAGCGCGAUUUGCGCAUUUUACGAUGAGUAGACCGAUCUCACUUACCGUUGACCUUAGUUAAAAUAACCGGAGAGUCACUUUCGCGUGCACUUAUAUUUCGCAGCGGUAAUUCAGCGUUUAUGAGCCCGCAUUGAAGCACGCGGAGGUCGCGCGUUUUACCAAGGCUGAUUAACUCCCGGAAUUAAUGCAAGACCAGGGAACAACUUUCCAUACACAGUACAUAUGUGCAUAUAGGAAAAAUUCUACGAUAAUUUAGAAAGGGGUUGCAAAAAAACAGUAAACAAAGCUCGCAAAUUUGCGCGAGAACUAAUAGCAGACAGUUCUAACGCAAGAUAUAUCGUAAAUCGCCUCCGUCAGCUUCAUCUCAUCCUGAAAAGGUGCAAUUUUACGUCAACAGUUUCCGACCAUUAAAAACAGGAAGAACCUACGUCAUCAAGUUACAAAAAAAGGAAGCGUUAAAAUUAUAUUCCUCAGCCCUGCGACGAUAGAACAUUAAUCUUCCCGAACAAGCAGUGCACGGACAUUAACAGUGGAUACGAUUUGAUUUCCGCGACAUUUUCAUGACAUAUACGUAUUAUCACAUUUUUCGCACCGGAAUGAAGAAAAUCAGUUGGAUGGAUCGAUUAAUUUUGGUGGAUCAUGAGAUCGAGAGAUUGACGGAAAGCCAAUCA